UCACCUAGGCGACGAUCCGUAGCGGGUCUGAGAGGAUGAUCCGCCACACUGGGACUGAGACACGGCCCAGACUCCUACGGGAGGCAGCAGUGGGGAAUUUUGGACAAUGGGGGCAACCCUGAUCCAGCCAUGCCGCGUGAGUGAAGAAGGCCUUCGGGUUGUAAAGCUCUUUCGGCCGGGAAGAAAUCGUGGUCUCUAACAUAGGCCAUGGAUGACGGUACCGGACUAAGAAGCACCGGCUAACUACGUGCCAGCAGCCGCGGUAAUACGUAGGGUGCGAGCGUUAAUCGGAAUUACUGGGCGUAAAGCGUGCGCAGGCGGUUUUGUAAGACAGAUGUGAAAUCCCCCGGGGCUUAACCUGGGAACUGCGUUUGUGACUGCAAGGCUAGAGUACGGCAGAGGGGGGUGGAAUUCCUGGUGUAGCAGUGAAAUGCGUAGAGAUCAGGAGGAACACCGAUGGCGAAGGCAGCCCCCCUGGGCCUGUACUGACGCUCAUGCACGAAAGCGUGGGGGAG
Molecule: ribosomal RNA, 515 nt
Filed under: uncultured bacterium
Lineage: Bacteria
Description: bacterial SSU rRNA
Rfam family: Bacterial small subunit ribosomal RNA
Source: RNAcentral